GCCCUCAAAGAAAUCAGCAUCGACCAGGGACCCACCUCCCCACCCCAUUUCUGGCCCCUGCCCAGUCAUCUUCUGAGCAGGAGGCGCUACAGCGGCACCAGAGACCCUCUUCCCGCCUGACAUCUCAAAUACACGCAAUUAGACCAUUUAUCAAAGCUUCUCGAGACGUCUCAAAUCAACAUCGCCACACGCCAAAUGCGCAAGCACAACAGCGAAACGCAAAAGGGCCCGAAUGGCCGCAGAAUUUCCUGCGACUUGAAGGCGCAGGGCCCCCCGCCGCGUCCAGGAUGCGCUCGGGCUGGGAGGAAGCCUCGGAACGCACCCAGAACCCUUUGAAGACGCCAAACACGACCUGAAAAUACAAGUGCGUUCUGAACCUCAGCGGGGCCGUCGUUUUAAAGUCACCCGAGGACAGAUUUUGAAUUUGUAAGAGAACAAUUUCUAAGAGAGCAAAGGACUUCCUGGAGAAAUUACCUGGCAACAGUCUGCUGUUUGUAGUGUUGGCGGGAGAUUUCAUCAUUAGUCUAAUUUCAGAAGGGUGCAAGCGUCAAAUGUAGUAAAAUCUGGCAUGCAAAAGAAGGAUAAUACGAAAAUUCCACUUGAGAUGUUGUUACAUCUUCGGCUGAGUAAAAUCCAUAUUUCGCAAACCUCACCAUUCUUGUCAUUUUAGGCCACCCAGAACGAACGUGAGACGCGCACGCGUUUUC
Scleropages formosus (Asian bonytongue) is the source of this 707-nucleotide long non-coding RNA. RefSeq lists it as uncharacterized. Lineage: Eukaryota; Metazoa; Chordata; Actinopteri; Osteoglossiformes; Osteoglossidae. The record is from RefSeq and is a predicted model, not a curated record. The transcript has 3 exons.